Gossypium arboreum is the source of this 145-nucleotide non-coding RNA. The record is from Rfam. Lineage: Eukaryota; Viridiplantae; Streptophyta; Magnoliopsida; Malvales; Malvaceae.
UGUUAAAAAAUUUAUCUAUUUUUACAAUUAAAAAAUAGUGUGGCUGACAAAAUAACAAGAUAGUGACACCUAGUGUGCUACAUGUACUCCAUGCUCAUGUAUAGAUAUCAGUUUUUAACACUAAAAAUAGAUAAAAUUUUUAACA